GAUGAACGCUGGCGGCGUGCCUAAUACAUGCAAGUCGAGCGAACAGACGAUGAGCUUGCUCCUCUGACGUUAGCGGCGGACGGGUGAGUAACACGUGGAUAACCUACCUAUAAUACUGGGAUAACUUCGGGAAACCGGAGCUAAUACCGUAUAAUAUAUUGAACCGCAUGGUUCAAUGGUGAAAGACGGUUUUGCUGUCUCUUAUAGAUGGAUCCGCGCCGCAUUAGCUAGUUGGUAAGGUAACGGCUUACCAAGGCGACGAUGCGUAGCCGACCUGAGGGGGUGAUAGGCCACACUGGAACUGAGACAAGGUCAAGACUCCUACGGGACGCAGCAGUCGGGAAUCUUCCGCAGUGGGCGAAAGCCUGACGGAGUAACGCGGCGUGAGUGACGAAGGUCUUCGGAUCGUAAAACUCUGUUAUUAGGGAAAAACCACUGUGUACGUAACUAUGCCCGUCUUGACGGUACCUAAUAAGAAAGCCACGGCUAACUACGUG
RNAcentral lists this ribosomal RNA (497 nucleotides) under uncultured bacterium. RNAcentral describes it as "partial 16S ribosomal RNA". It matches the Rfam family "Bacterial small subunit ribosomal RNA", at positions 28 to 507 of the family's 1533-position model. The record is from RNAcentral.